GUAAUAGACUGUCCACUAACAUAAGCAUCCUGCUUCAGACUAAUCAAGUAAGGCACAAUAGGUUUCAAACGAUCGAUCAAGAUUCUGACACAUACUUUAUAGAGGGUGGUAUAGAUACUGAUCGAUCUGAAUUGACAUAGGAUCGAUACAUCAAGCUGCUUCGAGAAAAGAGGGACCAAUAUCUUCUUCCACUCUAUUGAUAUGCCUC
RNAcentral lists this long non-coding RNA (208 nucleotides) under Elaeis guineensis (African oil palm). RNAcentral describes it as "long non-coding RNA (EGUI_LNC017650)". The record is from RNAcentral. Lineage: Eukaryota; Viridiplantae; Streptophyta; Magnoliopsida; Arecales; Arecaceae.